AUUGAACGCUGGCGGCAGGCCUAACACAUGCAAGUCGAGCGAGCGGCGGACGGGUGAGUAAUGUCUGGGAAACUGCCGGAUGGAGGGGGAUAACUACUGGAAACGGUAGCUAAUACCGCAUACCAUCAGAUGUGCCCAGAUGGGAUUAGCUAGUAGGGGGGGUAAUGGCUCACCUAGGCGACGAUCCCUAGCUGGUCUGAGAGGAUGACCAGCCACACUGGAACUGAGAAUCGGUGCAGACUCCUAUGGGAGGCAGUAGGGGGGAAGAUUGCACAAUGGGCGAAAGCCUGAUGAAUCCAUGCCGCGUGUGUGAAGAAGGACUUCGGGUUGUAAAGCACUUUCAGCGGGGAGGCGUUACCCGCAGAAGAAGCACCGGCUAACGCCGUGCCAGCAGCCGCGGUAAUUC
This 406-nucleotide ribosomal RNA is filed under the name uncultured bacterium. RNAcentral's name for it is "partial 16S ribosomal RNA". It matches the Rfam family "Bacterial small subunit ribosomal RNA", at positions 29 to 526 of the family's 1533-position model. The record is from RNAcentral.